AACGAACGCUGGCGGCAGGCUUAACACAUGCAAGUCGAACGGGUGUAGCAAUACAUCAGUGGCGGACGGGUGAGUAACACGUGGGAACCUUCCUAGGGGUACGGAACAACUCAGGGAAACUUGAGCUAAUACCGUAUACGUCCGUGAGGAGAAAGAUUUAUCGCCCUUAGACGGGCCCGCGUCGGAUUAGCUAGUUGGUGGGGUAACGGCCUACCAAGGCGACGAUCCGUAGCUGAUCUUAGAGGAUGAUCAGCCACACUGGGACUGAGACACGGCCCAGACUCCUACGGGAGGCAGCAGUGGGGAAUUUUGGACAAUGGGCGCAAGCCUGAUCCAGCCAUGCCGCGUGAGUGAAGAAGGUCUUCGGAUUGUAAAGCUCUUUUGCCAGGGACGAUAAUGACGGUACCUGGAGAAUAAGCCCCGGCAAACUUCGUGCCAGCCGCCGCAGUAA
This 451-nucleotide ribosomal RNA is filed under the name uncultured bacterium. Its description in RNAcentral is "partial 16S ribosomal RNA". It matches the Rfam family "Bacterial small subunit ribosomal RNA", at positions 29 to 523 of the family's 1533-position model. The record is from RNAcentral.